Molecule: ribosomal RNA, 234 nt
Filed under: Triticum aestivum (bread wheat)
Lineage: Eukaryota; Viridiplantae; Streptophyta; Magnoliopsida; Poales; Poaceae
Description: partial small subunit ribosomal RNA
Source: RNAcentral
AUGGGGGAGAUCCAUCGAGGCAGCAGAUGGGGGAGAAAGGCCGCCGUCGCCGGCGCCCAUCACAGAAAAGAGCGGCGCGAUGAGACGGAGGCGCAGAGGGUAGAGCGGCUGCAGCUGCAGGCAACUCUGGCGUUUGUGAAGGCGGCGCACGCGGACACCAUGCUUUACCUUGACAUGGAGGAGUACCGGAGGGCGGGCAAGCUCCACACUUACGACGAGGCCAAGGAGUGGUAG